UUUGGCAUGAGGGAGUGAAUAUGAAUCGGAUAAGAAUUUCCAGGUCCAUUCUCAAUAUUAUGAGAACAUCCAGUUCCAAAUAAAUCCCAUAUUUCAUCCCUUUCAUACCAAUUACAUCAGCAGAAAUGAUCUUUACAAAAAACACACUGACAAAAUGGAUUCAUCUUCAACCAGUCAUUUUCAAAUUAGACACAAGACAACUCUUCUAACGGUAAAUGCCAUGAAUUUUCAUUCUAUUGCCACCCAUACCUAUGUACAUCCCAAAAAUUACGUUUUUCAUUCGAUUCCUGCCAUAGUAUUUCAAGUGCCACUUUGUUCAUGAUUCCAAAUGCCACAAGCAACAGGUGUACAUGGGGUUUGGGGGCUUUCUUGUGAAAGAGAUCUUUAUUUUUUACCACCACCACUCCCAUCUUAAGUUUUGUGCCUUUUUCUAUUUUUUAUUAAAUCUUAUUCAAAUUUUCAUUUGAUCAACAGUGGGUUAACAAGUUAAAACCACUACUCUUCUCUUGUAAUAGUUUGUAAGAUUUUAUUCUAACAUGAGCAUGAGAUUUUAUAAUUCCAUCAAGACGUGUAUUUUAUUGUUGCAGUCACUGUUAUUGGACCCAUGUUCAAACAGCCAGGUCAAGCCAGAAUUCGCAACCCAUCUACCAUACCGGUCCAGUUGGAAGCAAUCAACCAGUUUCUGCCCGCAAAACAGUUAAACCUAUACACCCAAUGGGUUAUGCAAAGAUCAAAGAGUCGUCCAGGAUGAGAGAACUGGUCCAUAAAUACAUGUUCAACAUGUUUCCACUGGUCCAAGAAACAUAUUUUAUUGCUGCAGUCACUGUUAUUGGACCCAGGCUCAAACAGCCAGGUCAAACCAGAAUUCAUCACCCAUCUAUCCUACCAGUCCAGUUGGAAGUAAUAAACCAGUUUGUCCACAAAACAGUUGAACCUAUAUAUACCCAACAGGUUAUGCAAAGAUCAGAGAGUUGGUUCAGGAUGAGUGAACUGUUCCAUAAAUACUUGUUCAACAUGUUUCCACUGGUCCAUUCUUAUAUAUUUGCUAAGUGAAAAUCUAAUCGAUCUAAGUUGACAU
Molecule: long non-coding RNA, 1078 nt
Filed under: Olea europaea (common olive)
Lineage: Eukaryota; Viridiplantae; Streptophyta; Magnoliopsida; Lamiales; Oleaceae
Description: long non-coding RNA (OEUR_LNC009579)
Source: RNAcentral